Molecule: ribosomal RNA, 1678 nt
Filed under: human gut metagenome
Description: bacterial LSU rRNA
Rfam family: Bacterial large subunit ribosomal RNA
Source: RNAcentral
CAAUCGAACCCGGAGAUAGCUGGUUCUCCUCGAAAUAGCUUUAGGGCUAGCCUCGCAUUAGUUUACCGGAGGUAGAGCACUGAAUGGUCUAGGGGGCCUCACCGCCUACCGAAACCUAUCAAACUGCGAAUGCCGGAUAAAUGAUGUGCGGGAGUCAGGCCGCGAGAGAUAAGUUCCGCGGUCAAAAGGGGAACACCCCAGAUCGUCUGCUAAGGUCCCCAAGUACGCGUUAAGUGGGAAAGGAUGUUGGAUUGCACAGACAACCAGGAUGUUGGCUUAGAAGCAGCCACACAUUCAAAGAGUGCGUAAUAGCUCACUGGUCGAGUGAUCCAGCGCCGAAAAUGUAACGGGGCUAAAACGCGACACCGAAGCAGCGGGAUGCGUAAGCAUCGGUAGAGGAGCAUUGUGUGAGGAUAGAAGCCAGAGCGGGAGCACUGGUGGACUUCACAGAAGAGAGAAUGCCGGUAUGAGUAGCGAGACCCAUGCGAGAAACAUGGGCGUCGAAGGCCCAAGGUUUCCUGGGGAAGGUUCAUCCACCCAGGGUAAGUCGGGACCUAAGCCGAGGACUGAGGUCGUAGGCGAUGGACAGCAGGUAGAGAUUCCUGCACCACUUACACUUGUUUGACGAAGCAGUGACACAGAAGGAUAGGACGAGCGCGGUGAUGGUCAACCGCGUAGGCGGCACGAGGCUGGGGAGCAGUAAAGAACACUUCCCGGGAAGGCUGAGUGCUGACAGGACCGAAAAAGAGUAGGGAAGCGUCUGAGUUCACGCUGGCGAGAAAAGCUGCUAAGGAGAGUGUGAGUGCCCGUACCGGAAACCGACGCAGGUGGGCGAGGAGAGAAUCCUGAGACGGACGGGAGAACUCUUGUUAAGGAACUCGGCAAAAUGACCCCGUAACUUCGGGAGAAGGGGUGCCUCGAAAGAGGCCGCAGAGAAUAGUCACAAGCGACUGUUUAGCAAAAACACAGGUAUCUGCGAAAGCGAGAGCUGACGUAUAGGUGCUGACGCCUGCCCGGUGCUGGAAGGUUAAGGGGAAGUGUUAGGGGAAACCCGAAGCAGAGAACCGAAGCCCCAGUAAACGGCGGCCGUAACUAUAACGGUCCUAAGGUAGCGAAAUUCCUUGUCGGGUAAGUUCCGACCCGCACGAAUGGCGUAACGACUUGUGAGCUGUCUCAACAGGAGGCCCGGUGAAAUUGAAGUAUGUGUGAAGAUGCACAUUACCCGCGACUGGACGGAAAGACCCCGUAGAGCUUUACUGUAACCUGACAUUGGAUCUUGAUAACGGAUGCACAGGAUAGGUGGGACGCUGGGAGGUAUGGACUUUGGUCUGUACGGAGCGGACGUUGGGAUACCACUCUUCUGUUAUUGAGAUUCUAACCUCAAGCCGUAAGCCGGAUGAGAGACAGUGUCAGGCGGACAGUUUGACUGGGGCGGUCGCCUCCGAAAGAGUAACGGAGGCGCCCAAAGGUACCCUCAGAAUGGAUGGAAACCAUUCGAAGAGAGCAAAGUCAGAAGGGUGCUUGACUGCGAGACCAACAAGUCGAGCAGGUACGAAAGUAGGGCUUAGUGAUCCGGCGGUAAGAGAGUGGAAUUGCCGUCGCUCAACGGAUAAAAGCUACCUCGGGGAUAACAGGCUGAUCUCCCCCAAGAGUUCACAUCGACGGGGAGGUUUGGCAC